Molecule: ribosomal RNA, 200 nt
Filed under: uncultured bacterium
Lineage: Bacteria
Description: partial 16S ribosomal RNA
Rfam family: Bacterial small subunit ribosomal RNA
Source: RNAcentral
AACGAACGCUGGCGGCAGGCUUAACACAUGCAAGUCGAACGCCCCGCAAGGGGAGUGGCAGACGGGUGGGUAACGCGUGGGAAUCUACCUAGUUCUACGGAACAACAGUUGGAAACGGCUGCUAAUACCGUAUACGCCCUACGGGGGAAAGAUUUAUCGGAAUUAGAUGAGCCCGCGUAAGAUUAGCUAGUUGGUGAGGU